GUCUGUGGCCAUACCACCCUGAAUGCGCCUGAUCUCAGAGGCUAAGCAGGGUCAGGCCUGCUUAGUACUUGGAUGAGAAUUGAGUAGUGAGUGGAAAGAGAAUCAGUUA
Molecule: ribosomal RNA, 109 nt
Filed under: Microcebus murinus (gray mouse lemur)
Lineage: Eukaryota; Metazoa; Chordata; Mammalia; Primates; Cheirogaleidae
Source: RNAcentral